GAUGUAUUUCACAAUAAAUAAUGAGAAUUUUAUGUAAAGUUCCAAUUAGAAAGAAGGUAGAUUUAGGCCUUCUAAAUAAACUUAAGGUUUCAAGAACCACUUGAAGAAAUCUGUAAAGAGGAGGAUAUCAAGAGCAGGAGGAUAUCUGAGCUAUACACAGUUGUAGCCCAGAUGAAGUAGUACAGGCCCCAAGAAAAAGAAUG
This 203-nucleotide long non-coding RNA is filed under the name Homo sapiens (human). Its description in RNAcentral is "LHRI_LNC1197.1". The record is from RNAcentral. Lineage: Eukaryota; Metazoa; Chordata; Mammalia; Primates; Hominidae.